AACGAACGCUGGCGGCGUGGAUAAGACAUGCAAGUCGAACGGAUUUAGUCUUGUAGCAAUACAAGGCUGAGUCAGUGGCGCAAGGGUGCGUAACACGUGGGCAACCUGCCCUGGAGACUGGGAUAGCCCGCCGAAAGGCGGAUUAAUACCGGAUGCGGCUACCGAAGGAAUCUUCGGGACGCUAAAGGUGGCGCAAGCUACCGCUCUUGGAUGGGCCCGCGGCCUAUCAGCAGUUGGUGAGGUUACGGCUCACCAAGGCGAUGACGGGUAGCUGGUCUGAGAGGACGACCAGCCACACUGGAACUGAGACACGGUCCAGACACCUACGGGUGGCAGCAGUCGAGAAUUUUUCUCAAUGGGG
RNAcentral lists this ribosomal RNA (361 nucleotides) under uncultured bacterium. RNAcentral's name for it is "bacterial SSU rRNA". It matches the Rfam family "Bacterial small subunit ribosomal RNA", at positions 29 to 376 of the family's 1533-position model. The record is from RNAcentral.